UACGUAGGUGGCAAGCGUUGUCCGGAUUUACUGGGUGUAAAGGGCGUGCAGCCGGAGAGACAAGUCAGAUGUGAAAUCCACGGGCUCAACCCGUGAACUGCAUCUGAAACUGUUUCCCUUGAGUGUCGGAGAGGUAAUCGGAAUUCCUUGUGUAGCGGUGAAAUGCGUAGAUAUAAGGAAGAACACCAGUGGCGUAGGCGGAUUACUGGACGAUAACUGACGGUGAGGCGCGAAAGCGUGGGGAGCAAACAGG
This 253-nucleotide ribosomal RNA is filed under the name uncultured bacterium. RNAcentral describes it as "partial 16S ribosomal RNA". It matches the Rfam family "Bacterial small subunit ribosomal RNA", at positions 524 to 776 of the family's 1533-position model. The record is from RNAcentral.